GACGUAGGGGGCCAGCGUUGUUCGGAAUUACUGGGUGUAAAGGGUGCGUAGGCGGCGCGGUAAGUCGGGUGUGAAAUCUCGGAGCUUAACUCCGAAACUGCAUUCGAUACUGCCGUGCUUGAGGACUGGAGAGGAGACUGGAAUUUACGGUGUAGCGGUGAAAUGCGUAGAUAUCGUAAGGAAGACCAGUGGCGAAGGCGGGUCUCUGGACAGUUCCUGACGCUGAGGCACGAAGGCCAGGGGAGCAAACGGG
This 253-nucleotide ribosomal RNA is filed under the name uncultured bacterium. Its description in RNAcentral is "partial 16S ribosomal RNA". It matches the Rfam family "Bacterial small subunit ribosomal RNA", at positions 524 to 776 of the family's 1533-position model. The record is from RNAcentral.